RNAcentral lists this long non-coding RNA (1647 nucleotides) under Sus scrofa (pig). Its description in RNAcentral is "lncRNA (ENSSSCG00030000524.1)". Lineage: Eukaryota; Metazoa; Chordata; Mammalia; Artiodactyla; Suidae. The record is from RNAcentral.
CCGAGUCUUGGGUGGCGGCUGGCUGGGAGGGUGCCCCCGCCUGUGGGCGCCAGUGAGCUGCUGCAGGCUCCUCCUGGGCGUCCAGUCCAGGAAAAAAAAAUCGAGACGAACCGAAGAAGAUGAGUCUUUCCCCGAAGGAGAUAGAAGAUGGGGAAGAUGAAAUGUUAGAAGAUCGAAAUGCCAAAACCCUUUGAUCAAGGACAGGCCUGACACAGUCACUCAGCGUGAAUUAAUAGACGUGUUUGAGGAUGUUUCGCAGAUCAGAUUGCUGCAGGAUCGCCUGUGUCGACGGCACGUCACCAGCCGAUGCAGAGAGAGCCUUGCAAGAGAAGCCAGGAACGGGGAUCGGUGGGCUCGCCAUGGUUCUGGACCCCGUGAAUGCGAAAAGCCAAAACCGGGAAGAGGGCAGCGCCUGGAGAAGUCAGGAGGUUACGGCCCGGGAGGUGGAGCCCAGGCCUGGCCGGGGUUGUGGGCGGGGUUCCCGGGGAGGGGGCCCUGUGAGGUCAGGGGCACUUGGCACUUAUAAAUACAUUUCUCCCUCAUCCUCACAGUUCUGCCAAGCUAAUGAGCGUUGUCCUGGUUGACCGUAACCUUGAUGUCUGUGAAAGGCGUGGCACCUUGGGAGACAGCCUGUAGAUCCCCCACCCCCUGCCCCGGUGGGGUAGCCUCUAGGAUUCUGUUUGAACAAGCCCUUUAACCUGUGGUUUCAGAAUUAGAUAUUUAAUGCCCUUCAAAUAUUUAAUUCUCUUCAUGGAGAUGGGUUUUUUUUUUUUUCUUUUUCUUUUUCCUCUCACAGGGCGUGCGGAAGUUCUAGGCUGGGGAUCAAACCCAUGCCACAGCAGUAACCCAAGCCACAGCAGUGACAAUGCUGAGUCCUUAACUGCUGGGCCACCCGGGAACUCCUCAAGUAGAAUUUUUAAAAAGCUUAACACCAGAGAACCCCAAACCAGUGCCCUUAAUCUGUAUAACUUGAUUGGUAGACAUGGUGGCGUAUACAGUAUUUAGAGGAAAAAAAAAACCCAGUAGAAUUUACUAUGAGUAUUUUUUACAGUCAAAGGGUUUUACAUAAAAAUCUGGAUUUCUAGCUUUUGCUACAUCCAAAAAUGGGGUGGCCUUAGGGCCACAUCCCUACGUGUCUGCAGCCAUCUGGAGAGAGGCAGCUGCUUCCUCUUGGCUGUGGCAUUUGCUCUGCUGGCUACAAGCCCCACCAUUCUUCUGGAAGUCUUCCCCACCUCUGAAGGAGCGAGCAUCAUGCUGACACUUUGAAAAAAAUAGUUCAUUCUUUUUUCUUACAAAGCAUUACUUUUUUCUUAUUGGUAAAGAUGACGUUUUAUUUAUUUUUUUGUCUUUUGUCUUUUUAGGGCUGCACCCAAGGCAUAUGGAGGUUCCCAGGCUAGGGGUCUCCUUGGAGCUGUAGCUGCCAGCCUACGCCACAGCCACAGCCACAGCCACAGCCACACCAGAUCUGAGCCACAUCUGUGACCCACACCCCAGCUCACGGCAACGCCGGAUCCUUAAGAUGACGUUUUAAUAUGUCUUAUACAUUUGUCUCUUUCGUAAAUGGGAAAAUGAACGUUAGAACAAGAAUCCCACGCAUUUCAAGAAAAAUGGGAGAGAGCUUAUUUCUUUGUGGAGCUGCAGGAUGUU